RNAcentral lists this ribosomal RNA (428 nucleotides) under uncultured bacterium. RNAcentral's name for it is "partial 16S ribosomal RNA". It matches the Rfam family "Bacterial small subunit ribosomal RNA", at positions 354 to 796 of the family's 1533-position model. The record is from RNAcentral.
GUAGGGAAUAUUGCGCAAUGGACGAAAGUCUGACGCAGCGACGCCGCGUGAGUGAUGAAGGCCUUAGGGUCGUAAAGCUCUGUUGAAUGGGAAGAAAAAAAUGACGGUACCAUUCGAGGAAGGACCGGCUAACUUCGUGCCAGCAGCCGCGGUAAUACGAGGGGUCCUAGCGUUGUUCGGAAUCAUUGGGCGUAAAGGGUGUGUAGGUGGCAAUGUAAGUCAGGUGUGAAAGCCCCGGGCUCAACCCGGGAAGUGCACUUGAUACUGCGUGGCUUGAGUACCGAAGAGGGUAGUGGAAUUCCAGGUGUAGUGGUGAAAUACGUAGAUAUCUGGAGGAACACCGGUGGCGAAGGCGGCUACCUGGUCGAGUACUGACACUGAGACACGAAAGCAUGGGGAUCAAACAGGAUUAGAAACCCCAGUAGUCC